GAGACAGAGUGUGAGCAGGGGAGGCACAGAGAGGGGAACACAGAAUCCGAAGCAGGCUCCAGACUCCGAGUGCCAGCACAGAGUCCAACACAGGUCUCAAACCAGUGAACCGUGAAUUAAUGGCCCAAGCCAAAGACUGACGCUUAACCAGCUGAGCCACCCAGGCACCCCAAGUACCUUAUUUAUUUACAUUUCAACUAGCCCUGUGAUUCCUCGUUUACUAAACCUGUUCUUCUCAGAACUAUUGGCCAAUCCACACAGACGUCAACAAAGAUGGAAAGCUGAAAGUAGCCAUGAGAAAAGCCUGGAAGGGUGCUGUUGCAGUACUCAGAAGACAAGAAUGGGGACAUUCAAUCACAGAAGGCCCCCCAGCAAAAAGAUGCCUAAAGCAGGACCUGAAAGGUAAAUAAAAGGUAGCUGAAAGAGGAGAAUGGAGGGGGACUGCAAAACAAUAUUCCAGGCAGAAAGAAUCCUGUCCACGCUGAUCCAGGGCUUGAAGAACUGGAAGACAGAGAGUGGGGUAGGAGAGGAACGUACAUACAGAUUGUUGGAAAGCCAAAUAAUAUAAAACCAUAAUUAUGCAGACACUGAA
Felis catus (domestic cat) is the source of this 592-nucleotide long non-coding RNA. RefSeq lists it as uncharacterized. NCBI's taxonomy places the organism in Eukaryota, Metazoa, Chordata, Mammalia, Carnivora, Felidae. The transcript has 2 exons. The record is from RefSeq and is a predicted model, not a curated record.